Molecule: ribosomal RNA, 861 nt
Filed under: uncultured Corynebacterium sp.
Lineage: Bacteria; Bacillati; Actinomycetota; Actinomycetes; Mycobacteriales; Corynebacteriaceae
Description: bacterial SSU rRNA
Rfam family: Bacterial small subunit ribosomal RNA
Source: RNAcentral
GACGAACGCUGGCGGCGUGCUUAACACAUGCAAGUCGAACGAUGAAGCCUGCAACUUGUUGUGGGUGGAUUAGUGGCGAACGGGUGAGUAAUACGUGGGUAACCUGCCCUCCUUUUUGGGAUAAGCCUUGGAAACGGGGUCUAAUACCGAAUAUUCUGGCGCUCUCGCAUGGGGGUGUUGGGAAAGCUUUAGUGUGAAGGGGGAUGGGCUCGCGGCCUAUCAGCUUGUUGGUGGGGUGAUGGCCUACCAAGGCGGUGACGGGUAGCCGGCCUGAGAGGGUGACCGGCCACAUUGGGACUGAGAUACGGCCCAGACUCCUACGGGAGGCAGCAGUGGGGAAUAUUGCACAAUGGGCGCAAGCCUGAUGCAGCGACGCCGCGUGAGGGAUGAAGGCCUUCGGGUUGUAAACCUCUUUCGUCAGGGAACAAGGCACUACGUUUUGGUGGUGUUGAGGGUACCUGGAUAAGAAGCGCCGGCUAACUACGUGCCAGCAGCCGCGGUAAUACGUAGGGCGCAAGCGUUGUCCGGAAUUAUUGGGCGUAAAGAGCUCGUAGGCGGCUGGUCGCGUCUGUCGUGAAAACUUCUGGCUCAACCGGGGGCUUGCGGUGGGGUACGGGCCGGCUAGAGUGCGGUAGGGGUAACUGGAACUCCUGGUGUAGCAGUGUAAUGCCGGAUAACACGAAGAAACCAUGGCAAGUGAGGUUUAGGGGGCGUUACUGACGCUCAGACGGAAGCGUGGGAGGAAAUGAUUAAUACUCGGGGUAUGAAGGGCGAAAUCACAGAGAAUGUGAUGGGAGUGGGUCUGUCUCGCGGGGGGGAGGAGGGAGGCAAGUUUUUUUCCUCUUUUCUUCUUUAAUGAAG